This 165-nucleotide ribosomal RNA is filed under the name uncultured bacterium. Its description in RNAcentral is "partial 16S ribosomal RNA". It matches the Rfam family "Bacterial small subunit ribosomal RNA", at positions 355 to 511 of the family's 1533-position model. The record is from RNAcentral.
UAGGGAAUCUUCCACAAUGGGCGCAAGCCUGAUGGAGCAACACCGCGUGAGUGAAGAAGGGUUUCGGCUCGUAAAGCUCUGUUGUUAAAGAAGAACACGUAUGAGAGUAACUGUUCAGUACGUUGACGGUAUUUAACCAGAAAGUCACGGCUAACUACGUGCCAG